This 46-nucleotide non-coding RNA is filed under the name Trichobilharzia regenti. The record is from RNAcentral. Lineage: Eukaryota; Metazoa; Platyhelminthes; Trematoda; Strigeidida; Schistosomatidae.
GUACUGCUGAAGAGUCCCAAGCUAGGACGAAAUAGUUGUUCAGUAC